UACGAAGGGGGCUAGCGUUGUUCGGAUUUACUGGGCGUAAAGCGCACGUAGGCGGAUCGUUAAGUUAGGGGUGAAAUCCCAGGGCUCAACCCUGGAACUGCCUUUAAUACUGGCGAUCUAGAGUCCGGAAGAGGUGAGUGGAACUCCUAGUGUAGAGGUGGAAUUCGUAGAUAUUAGGAAGAACACCAGUGGCGAAGGCGGCUCACUGGUCCGGUACUGACGCUGAGGUGCGAAAGCGUGGGGAGCAAACAGG
RNAcentral lists this ribosomal RNA (253 nucleotides) under uncultured bacterium. RNAcentral describes it as "partial 16S ribosomal RNA". It matches the Rfam family "Bacterial small subunit ribosomal RNA", at positions 524 to 776 of the family's 1533-position model. The record is from RNAcentral.